This 243-nucleotide unclassified non-coding RNA is filed under the name fungal sp. RNAcentral describes it as "partial internal transcribed spacer region". The stretch from base 1 to 46 matches the Rfam family "Eukaryotic small subunit ribosomal RNA", at positions 1786 to 1831 of the family's 1831-position model. Lineage: Eukaryota; Fungi. The record is from RNAcentral.
AAGUCGUAACAAGGUUUCCGUAGGUGAACCUGCGGAAGGAUCAUUAAAAAAAAACAUGGUGGAAGGGGAAAAAAAGGCGGGGGGCCCUGCGCCUUUUUCCUUUUUUUCCCCUUUUUCUUACCUGUGAAUUGGGGCAUUUUUGUCCGCUUUGUACUCUUGUCGUUUUUUUAUUAUUAUUAUUGUUUCCCCAGUUGGAACAAUGCAUAAAAAAGACAACUUUCAGCAAUGGAUCUCUUGGCUCUU